RNAcentral lists this long non-coding RNA (1003 nucleotides) under Ananas comosus (pineapple). RNAcentral's name for it is "long non-coding RNA (ACOM_LNC027907)". Lineage: Eukaryota; Viridiplantae; Streptophyta; Magnoliopsida; Poales; Bromeliaceae. The record is from RNAcentral.
CUUCCUCACCAUUGGAGCAAGCUAUUGAGGUAAGCUCUCACUACAACAAAACUAUGUUUUAGCGGCGAUUAUUUUUUAAAUUAGCGGCAAUUACAAUUGCCGCUAAAAUAUUUUGUGGCAAUUUUAACAAUUGCCGCUAUUGGCAGGGUCGCUAAAAGUUUUAGCGGCAUUUAUUCUGGCGGUUGGUAAAAAUCCAAAUAAAUGCCGCUAAAUAUUAUACAAUAACGACUAUUAUAAAUGCCGCUAAAUAGUAUGCAAUAACAACCAUUAGAAAUACCGCUAAAUAUUAUACAAUAACAAUUAUUAUAAAUGCCGCUAAAUAGUAUGCAAUAACAACUAUUAUAAAUGUCGCUAAAUACUAAACAAUAACAACUAUUAUAAAUGCCGCUAUAAUUAAUUAUAAUUGUCGCAAAAAAUAUACUAAAUGAUUGGUAAAUAAAGCUUAUAGCGGCAAUUAAAUUAAUAUUAAACUACUUGAUUAACAACUAAAUACUACAAUGAAUUGAUCAUAUCAAAUUUUUGAAAAAUAUGAAGGUCAUAACUCAUAACUCGAAUAAACUUUAGCUUCAGGAUACACCAGAGGCACCCAAGUCAUACUAGGGCUACUCAGCCCUUUUCUUUCCAUCACCUCUCGCUGCCUUCCGGUACAAAGACAAUUAUACAUGCCCAAAACAAUGAUCAGAGAAUAAAUUCUCUCUAAGUAAAACCAAUAAUCCAAAUAAUAUGCAAAUCUUGGUAAGAAAUUAGUUCGACAAAGCACACAGCCCCUCGUCAAGAAAUUACUGACUUAUUGCCUAUUAUAUUUGGCAAAUAGUGUGGCAUAAUAUUAAAGUAUCAUGAAACUGGAUUCUUCGUGUAAAAUACAAAUUUAUGAUACAACUACCCUUUAUGAUACAACUUCUCUUUAUCUUAGGGCGCAAGCCAACUAACCACUUCAUGUGAGAAAAGAAUACUCAUCGAAGCCAAUUCUCAACAGUUACAUCUAAGAGUAAAUUAAAGAUUU